This 222-nucleotide long non-coding RNA is filed under the name Phoenix dactylifera (date palm). RNAcentral describes it as "long non-coding RNA (PDAC_LNC013952)". The record is from RNAcentral. Lineage: Eukaryota; Viridiplantae; Streptophyta; Magnoliopsida; Arecales; Arecaceae.
UUGGGGUAGAGACAGCAGUUUGUGGGUAUCUGCGUCGGAAAUCCUUACGAGACAAAACUCGUCCACUAGGGCCACCUAGGGGUUUAAAGCCUUAUUGCAUAUGGUAAAUGCAAUCGCGAUUCCUGCGAAAGUGAGUUAGUUUUUAUUUUGCUUGAGGACUAGCAAAAUGUAGGUUUGGGGGUGUGAUAAGUACUAAAUAAUGCAUAAAUUAACUUCUUACUC